UAAGACAGACGGUCGCAGCUGCAAGUGCCGAAAGGCCGCAGGUGAGGAAAGUCCGGGCUUCAUAGGGCAGGAUGCCGGAUAACGUCCGGUGGAGGCGACUCCAAGGAUAGUGCAACAGAAAUGUACCGCGUUAGCAAUGAGCCAUGCAGAUUGGCGGGGCAAGCGAUUCGAGUUACAAGCAUGGCUCAUGGAUUAUAGAGAGACAAGUCUUCAUGGCUCAUUGCUGACGUAAGGGUGGAAGGGCAGUGUAAGAGACUACCGCCUUGCCGGUAACGGCAGGGGCAUAUGUAAACCCCAUCCGAAGCAAAACCGAAUGAAAACGAUGUGGCGGCCCGUCACGUUUUAGGUAGGUUGCUUGAACCUGUCGGCAACGACAGGUCUAGAUAGAUGACCGUCCAACGACAUAACCCGGCUUAUCGUCUUGCUUA
Molecule: RNase P RNA, 428 nt
Filed under: uncultured Faecalimonas sp.
Lineage: Bacteria; Bacillati; Bacillota; Clostridia; Lachnospirales; Lachnospiraceae
Description: Bacterial RNase P class A
Rfam family: Bacterial RNase P class A
About the family: Ribonuclease P (RNase P) is a ubiquitous endoribonuclease, found in archaea, bacteria and eukarya as well as chloroplasts and mitochondria.
Source: RNAcentral